AAAAUUCCUUCUCCUUAUUGCUUUUUAAGCAAGGUCAGGUCAGAAGUGCUUACUUCCUACUGAGCAGAUGAAGUGGAACCCUGGGGACGCUGAUGCCUUCUGCCUUCCCCAGCUAACCGCAACCAAGAGACAAGAGCUGACCUUAUCCAUAGGUCAAACCUAGACGGUUUGCUAUUUUGUAUAGGAAAUGUCAGCUGAUCCUUCCGGCCUCUACAGUGAUAACCUGCUGCUGUUUCAAUCACCCGUAGAGGAAGAGCUAUUAGCAACACUCCUGGAAGCAGACUACCAGAGGGAACAUUGCAUGCCCCUCCUACAAGCUGUGGAGAGUUCUGAAGAACCAUGAGAAAUAGGUGCUGGUGGUUUUUUGGGUGGGGAAACCUGGCAGGUCCAGUCCUAAGUCACUGAGAUCACAUGGCGACAACAUCG
RNAcentral lists this long non-coding RNA (426 nucleotides) under Cricetulus griseus (Chinese hamster). Its description in RNAcentral is "lncRNA (ENSCGRG00000026459.1)". Lineage: Eukaryota; Metazoa; Chordata; Mammalia; Rodentia; Cricetidae. The record is from RNAcentral.